CGUUCAAUUGGAAGUCUGGUCAUUUUAGUGCUAUUGACGUAUUUAUGAAAGAGGCAUAAAAGAGAAAUGUUGCGGCGAGUGGAUAAUAAUUGAAGUGAAUAAUCCAUUUUAAGUUGUGUUACGCUGCAGCAGAAAUUAUAAUUACGAGAAAUGAAUCGGACUGCCCUAUUUUGAACUGCUACAUGCACCAGAUUUUGCUACAUGCAAUUUUUCACACCAGAUUCUGCUACAUGCAAUUGCAACACUUCAUAAGUUGUAUAAUAAUACUGCCUCCUCCUGCGGUGAUGCUUCAGCAACCACCUCAAGAGAGCAGCCACCAUCAAAACGGUCACGCUCGUCAAGACGACAACGGACCUGCGAGGGCGCUAGCAAUGCAGGAGAGGGCACAAGCCAUGAAGCUGUGGCGCAAGCGUGCAUGGAGCACCUUGAACACAUCAGAGCGAACAAGGGGGUCAUCAAAAAAG
Molecule: long non-coding RNA, 464 nt
Organism: Rhipicephalus microplus (southern cattle tick)
Lineage: Eukaryota; Metazoa; Arthropoda; Arachnida; Ixodida; Ixodidae
Source: RefSeq, a predicted model, not a curated record